Molecule: ribosomal RNA, 481 nt
Filed under: uncultured bacterium
Lineage: Bacteria
Description: partial 16S ribosomal RNA
Rfam family: Bacterial small subunit ribosomal RNA
Source: RNAcentral
AUUGAACGCUGGCGGCAUGCCUUACACAUGCAAGUCGAACGGUAACAGGUCUUCGGACGCUGACGAGUGGCGAACGGGUGAGUAAUACAUCGGAACGUGCCCGAUCGUGGGGGAUAACGAGGCGAAAGCUUUGCUAAUACCGCAUACGAUCUACGGAUGAAAGCGGGGGAUCUUCGGACCUCGCGCGGACGGAGCGGCCGAUGGCAGAUUAGGUAGUUGGUGGGAUAAAAGCUUACCAAGCCGACGAUCUGUAGCUGGUCUGAGAGGAUGAUCAGCCACACUGGGACUGAGACACGGCCCAGACUCCUACGGGAGGCAGCAGUGGGGAAUUUUGGACAAUGGGCGAAAGCCUGAUCCAGCCAUGCCGCGUGCAGGAUGAAGGCCUUCGGGUUGUAAACUGCUUUUGUACGGAACGAAAAGCCUCUUUCUAAUAAAGAGGGGUCAUGACGGUACCGUAAGAAUAAGCACCGGCUAACUACGU